Molecule: ribosomal RNA, 253 nt
Filed under: uncultured bacterium
Lineage: Bacteria
Description: partial 16S ribosomal RNA
Rfam family: Bacterial small subunit ribosomal RNA
Source: RNAcentral
UACAGAGGUCUCAAGCGUUGUUCGGAUUCAUUGGGCGUAAAGGGUGCGUAGGCGGCGCGGUAAGUCGGGUGUGAAAUCUCGGAGCUUAACUCCGAAACUGCAUUCGAUACUGCCGUGCUUGAGGACUGGAGAGGAGACUGGAAUUUACGGUGUAGCGGUGAAAUGCGUAGAUAUCGUAAGGAAGACCAGUGGCGAAGGCGGGUCUCUGGACAGUUCCUGACGCUGAGGCACGAAGGUCAGGGGAGCAAAAGGG